UACGUAGGGGGCAAGCGUUGUCCGGAAUCAUUGGGCGUAAAGAGCGUGUAGGCGGCCCGGUAAGUCCGCUGUGAAAGUCCAGGGCUCAACCUCGAGACGUCGGCGGAAACCAUCUGGCUAGAGUCCGGAAGAGGAGAGUGGAAUUCCUGGUGUAGCGGUGAAAUGCGCAGAUAUCAGGAAGAACACCUAUGGCGAAGGCAGCACUCUGGGACGGUACUGACGCUGAGACGCGAAAGCGUGGGGAGCGAACAGG
This 253-nucleotide ribosomal RNA is filed under the name uncultured bacterium. RNAcentral's name for it is "partial 16S ribosomal RNA". It matches the Rfam family "Bacterial small subunit ribosomal RNA", at positions 524 to 776 of the family's 1533-position model. The record is from RNAcentral.